GUAUUGUUGAACUCAAUUUUUUUUAUUUAUAGUUAUAUACAGGUUAUGUAUAUAUUUAGUUAUUACUUAAGGAUACUUACGUAAACUCUAAAUUACAACUCUUGUAAGAUGGGAACUAAAACAAUUUUGAUAUGAUUCAUAGUUUAUUCUAUAAAGAAAGAUUCAUUUAUGAUAGCAUUUAUAAUAUUUCUGCUGAGAAUCAGAGGCAUGUGAUAUAGGAGUCAUUUCAAAUAGUAGGACACUGUAAACUAUAUAUCAUGAAUCUAAGCUUUUAGCAAGACAAUUAAACUCCACAACCAUGAAAUCUAGGUUUAAACGUUUUCCAUAGCACCAACUGCAUCUGUCAGUCUUUUUAUACCAUUAAGUAGAGGAUUGUGUCUGCUCUUUUUAUUAUAAUGGACGUUAUAGAGUUAAGUAUGUUAUGUACAUUCAAAGAAACAGGGUAGUGAUAUAAAAGUUACCAAAUCGAUGGGUGAGUUUAUCAAAUGAACACUGUUUUAUGGUGCCAGCGUUUCUAAGUUAAGAUGACAGGGUAUUCGACAGUUUGUAAUCAGUUGUUGAUCAGCAUAAUUCAAACUUAGCCAGCUGUGCCUGCUUUGAGGAUGCAGUAGUCACUAUAGCAAGCCUCUAAGCCAAAUCUUCCAAAAAGUAGUUCUUAUAGAAGAAAUUAUAUGUGUGUGUAAUAUAUAUAUAUGUAUAUAUAUUAUGUGUGUGUGUAUAUAUAUAUAUGUAUAUAUAUGUAUGUGUGUAUGUAUAUGUAUGUAUGUGUAUGUAUAAAAUGUUUGCAGGCACAUAGGAUGAGUGACCCGUCAAAGGAGAUUUUAGAACUUAUCAGUGGGACAAAUGUUGAAUUUCUAAAUGCAGAACAUGGUCAUUCUUUGAAUAUUUAAGUACAAAUAUUAUUUCUUGGAUUAGAUUUGAAUGCAAAGGCCACUUUAAAGCCUAGUUCCUUUUUGUCGGACUAAGAGCAAGAGCCAGCUGUGUAAGAGCACCACUAAAAUGCCCCGGUGUUUGCCUCCAUCAUCACUGUCCCUGUGACACAACUCAGUAAGUUGCUUUUUUAAGAUUUGUGACACUUAUAUGUGAUAAAUACCUUGCCAAAUAAAAUAAAUGUAUGACAUGAAUGCAAAUACCAAGAAAAAUCCUGAGUCUAUUUAACUAAGUUUAAUUGAAUUUUCUUGAACUUGAAUUUCUACUGAUUAAACUAUGCAAUCAUGCUUAUUGUUUUAUAAACACAUGAUGCACUGGCCUGGGUUUUUCUUGUGUUGUUUUCCUGUGUUGUAAGUUUUAAUUUGAAAGAUUAUCCUAACCCAAUUUUUAGUGUUCUUAACUUUUAGUGUCAUCUGGCACUUAUCGGUAGCAGUGGAAGCUGGAACAGGGUAUUUUGGUUUUGGUUUUAAAGUAACUCUGC
RNAcentral lists this long non-coding RNA (1411 nucleotides) under Rattus norvegicus (Norway rat). RNAcentral describes it as "long non-coding RNA NONRATT017402". Lineage: Eukaryota; Metazoa; Chordata; Mammalia; Rodentia; Muridae. The record is from RNAcentral.